This is a transfer RNA of Linderina pennispora, 72 nucleotides long. It matches the Rfam family "tRNA". From Rfam's summary of the family: Transfer RNA (tRNA) molecules are approximately 80 nucleotides in length. Their secondary structure includes four short double-helical elements and three loops (D, anti-codon, and T loops). Lineage: Eukaryota; Fungi; Kickxellomycota; Kickxellomycetes; Kickxellales; Kickxellaceae. The record is from Rfam.
GGCUUGGUGGUCUAGUAGUAUGAUUCUCGCUUCGGGUGCGAGAGGUCCCGGGUUCAAUUCCCGGCCAAGCCC